ACCUGGGUGGCUCACUCAGUUGAGUGUCUGACUUCAGCUCAGGUCAUGAUCUCACGGUGCGUGGGUUCGAGCCCCACAUCAGGUU
RNAcentral lists this transfer RNA (85 nucleotides) under Felis catus (domestic cat). It matches the Rfam family "tRNA". From Rfam's summary of the family: Transfer RNA (tRNA) molecules are approximately 80 nucleotides in length. Their secondary structure includes four short double-helical elements and three loops (D, anti-codon, and T loops). Lineage: Eukaryota; Metazoa; Chordata; Mammalia; Carnivora; Felidae. The record is from Rfam by way of RNAcentral.